GAUGAACGCUGGCGGCGUGCCUAAUACAUGCAAGUCGAGCGAACGGACGAGAAGCUUGCUUCUCUGAUGUUAGCGGCGGACGGGUGAGUAACACGUGGAUAACCUACCUAUAAGACUGGGAUAACUUCGGGAAACCGUAGCUAAUACCGGAUAAUAUUUUGAACCGCAUGGUUCAAAAGUGAAAGACGGUCUUGCUGUCACUUAUAGAUGGAUCCGCGCUGCAUUAGCUAGUUGGUAAGGUAACGGCUUACCAAGGCAACGAUGCAUAGCCGACCUGAGAGGGGUGACGGCCCACACGGAAAAGAGACCACGUCCAAGCCCCCACGGGGGGCCAGAGGAGGGAAUCUUCCCAGAGGGGCGAAAGGCUUACGGAACCACCCCGCGUGAGUUAAGAAGGUUUUGGGGUUGUAAAACUUUUUUUAUGGGGAAAAAAAAUUUUGUUAAUAACUGGGCAAAUUUUGGCGGGUCCUAAACAAAAAGCCCCCGCUAACCACG
Molecule: ribosomal RNA, 495 nt
Filed under: uncultured bacterium
Lineage: Bacteria
Description: partial 16S ribosomal RNA
Rfam family: Bacterial small subunit ribosomal RNA
Source: RNAcentral